This 497-nucleotide ribosomal RNA is filed under the name uncultured bacterium. Its description in RNAcentral is "partial 16S ribosomal RNA". It matches the Rfam family "Bacterial small subunit ribosomal RNA", at positions 28 to 507 of the family's 1533-position model. The record is from RNAcentral.
GAUGAACGCUGGCGGCGUGCCUAAUACAUGCAAGUCGAGCGAACAGACGAGGAGCUUGCUCCUCUGACGUUAGCGGCGGACGGGUGAGUAACACGUGGAUAACCUACCUAUAAGACUGGGAUAACUUCGGGAAACCGGAGCUAAUACCGGAUAUUAUAUUGAACCGCAUGGUUCAAUAGUGAAAGACGGUUUUGCUGACACUUAUAGAUGGAUCCGCGCCGCAUUAGCUAGUUGGUAAGGUAACGGCUUACCAAGGCAACGAUGCGUAGCCGACCUGAGAGGGUGAUCGGCCACACUGGAACUGAGACACGGUCCAGACUCCUACGGGAGGCAGCAGUAGGGAAUCUUCCGCAAUGGGCGAAAGCCUGACGGAGCAACGCCGCGUGAGUGAUGAAGGUCUUCGGAUCGUAAAACUCUGUUAUUAGGGAAGAACAAAUGUGUAAGUAACUAUGCACGUCUUGACGGUACCUAAUCAGAAAGCCACGGCUAACUACGUG